Molecule: ribosomal RNA, 778 nt
Filed under: uncultured bacterium
Lineage: Bacteria
Description: bacterial SSU rRNA
Rfam family: Bacterial small subunit ribosomal RNA
Source: RNAcentral
GGCAGCGCGGACUUCGGUCUGGCGGCGAGUGGCGAACGGGUGAGUAAUAUAUCGGAACGUGCCCAGUAGCGGGGGAUAACUACUCGAAAGAGUAGCUAAUACCGCAUACGCCCUACGGGGGAAAGGGGGGGAUCGCAAGACCUCUCACUAUUGGAGCGGCCGAUAUCGGAUUAGCUAGUUGGUGGGGUAAAGGCCCACCAAGGCGACGAUCCGUAGCUGGUUUGAGAGGACGACCAGCCACACUGGGACUGAGACACGGCCCAGACUCCUACGGGAGGCAGCAGUGGGGAAUUUUGGACAAUGGGGGAAACCCUGAUCCAGCCAUUCCGCGUGUGCGAUGAAGGCCUUCGGGUUGUAAAGCACUUUUGGCAGGAAAGAAAUCGCACAAAUUAAUACUUUGUGUGGAUGACGGUACCUGCAGAAUAAGCACCGGCUAACUACGUGCCAGCAGCCGCGGUAAUACGUAGGGUGCAAGCGUUAAUCGGAAUUACUGGGCGUAAAGCGUGCGCAGGCGGUUCGGAAAGAGAGGUGUGAAAUCCCAGGGCUUAACCUUGGAACUGCACUUUUAACUCCCGAGCUAGAGUAUGUCAGAGGGGGGUGGAAUUCCGCGUGUAGCAGUGAAAUGCGUAGAUAUGCGGAGGAACACCGAUGGCGAAGGCAGCCCCCUGGGAUAAUACUGACGCUCAUGCACGAAAGCGUGGGGAGCAGACAGGAUUAAAUACCCUGGUAGUCCACGCCCUAAACGAUGUCAACUAGCUGUUGGGGGCUUCGGCCCUUA